CCUACGGGUGACAGCAGUGAGGAAUAUUGGUCAAUGGACGCAAGUCUGAACCAGCCAUGCCGCGUGCAGGAAGACGGCUCUAUGAGUUGUAAACUGCUUUUGUACGAGGGUAAAUCCCGAUACGUGUAUCGGGUUGAAAGUAUCGUACGAAUAAGGAUCGGCUAACUCCGUGCCAGCAGCCGAGGUAAUACGGAGGAUUCAAGCGUUAUCCGGAUUUUUUGGGGUUAAAGGGUGCGUAGGCGGUUCGUUAAGUUAGAGGUGAAAUCCUGGGGGUCAAGUCCGGGACUGCCGUUGAUACUGGCGGGCUAGAGUUUAGUUGCGGUAGGCGGAAUGUAUGGUGUAGCGGUGAAAUGCAUAGAGAUCAUACAGAACACCGAUUGCGAAGGCAGCUUACCAAACUACGACUGACGUUGAGGCACGAAAGCGUGGGGAGCAAACAGGAUUAGAUACCCCUGUAGUC
Molecule: ribosomal RNA, 460 nt
Filed under: uncultured bacterium
Lineage: Bacteria
Description: partial 16S ribosomal RNA
Rfam family: Bacterial small subunit ribosomal RNA
Source: RNAcentral